Molecule: ribosomal RNA, 776 nt
Filed under: uncultured Neocallimastigales
Lineage: Eukaryota; Fungi; Neocallimastigomycota; Neocallimastigomycetes; Neocallimastigales
Description: partial large subunit ribosomal RNA
Rfam family: Eukaryotic large subunit ribosomal RNA
Source: RNAcentral
AGAGAGAGACAUGCGCGCAUAUCAAUAAGCGGAGGAAAAGAAACUAACAAGGAUUCCCCUAGUAACGGCGAGUGAAGCGGGAAGAGCUCAAAUUUGAAAUCUUAAAGGGUUUCCCUUUACGAAUUGUAGUUUAAAGAAGUGUUUUCUGUUGAGGUUUUGGUAAAAGUUCUUUGGAAUAGGACAUCAUAGAGGGUGAGAAUCCCGUAUUUGACCUUUACUUUCAACUUUGUGAUACACUUUCAAAGAGUCGGAUUGUUUGGGAAUGCAGUCCAAAAUGGGUGGUAAAUUUCAUCUAAAGCUAAAUAUUGGCGAGAGACCGAUAGCGAACAAGUACCGUGAGGGAAAGAUGAAAAGAACUUUGAAAAGAGAGUUAAACAGUACGUGAAAUUGUCAAAAGGGAAGCGUUUGACACCAGUGUUGUUUUUCUGAAAAUCAAUUAAAGAACUGUUUAUGCUAAGUUGUUUAGACUUUAUCAGCUAUCUGUUUAGUUUUGAGCUUUUCUUUAAUGCACUUUUCAGUUAACAAGUCAACAUCAAUUUCUUUUGCUGUAAAAAAGCUUGAGGAAGGUGGCUUGAGAUUCGUCUUAAGUGUUUAUAGCCUCUUGCCUAUGCAGUCGGAGAGAUUGAGGUCUGCAGCGUAGAUCCCUUCGGGGCUAAAUGCAGUUUGUGCUAAGUUAUAGCAUUUUAUAGACAACUUGUUGACUAUGAUUUGUCUUGUAGCUUACUCGCUUAUGUUAUUUUACCUACGCUUAGGAUGUUGAGCGCAUGUCUCUCUCU